This 1653-nucleotide long non-coding RNA is filed under the name Canis lupus familiaris (dog). Its description in RNAcentral is "lncRNA (ENSCAFG00000056271.1)". Lineage: Eukaryota; Metazoa; Chordata; Mammalia; Carnivora; Canidae. The record is from RNAcentral.
UUUUUGCUUAGCCAGUCUGAGUGGGUUCAUCAGCCACAAAAGCAGCUUAGGACUGAUGUUUUAACCCUGGUUUAAGUAGUUCUUACCUUAUUCCCAUAAAUUUAUUCAGGCUCAAUAGUUAAAAUGAUGCUAUAUCUGGUUAAUUUUUCAAAAGAGCCCUCUGAAACAUACCGAGACUAGCCAUGAGCAUUAGUCCUUCCUGACAUUUUAAUAUUAGAAUCAUUGGAUAAGAAUAAUUUUAUGAUGAUGGCAUUUUCAUUUCAUUAAGCAAUGGCAGGGCAGGAAUUUUCAAGGAAACUAAAGCCCAAAUUGGACAAGAGCCUUGCCCAGUGGUGGAAUUAGAACCUUGUUUCUGUCAAUACUCAAGCCAAGGCUCUUUGUCAAUGAAAAUUUUUUUUUUUUAAGUAAUCUCUAUGCCCAUGAUGGGGAUCAAACUUAUGACCCCGAGAUCAAGAGUUGCAUGCUCCAUGGAUUGAGCCAGCUAUGUGCCUCUGUCAAUGAAUUUUUUAGGGCCAAGAUGGUAAUUUCCUUUCCUUAAAUUUCAAGUGAGAUCAUUCAACAAUAACUAUUGACUGCCCAUCUAAUUGGUCAGGACUCUUAGUUGCAAAUUAAAAAAAACAAUAAAAGGCUCUAGGAAUAUAUUUGUUUCAGGUAUGGUUGUUUCCAGGCUCAAAAUCACUGAGUAUUCUCUCUCUAUCCCUAGGAAAGACUUUCCACAAGGGGGGCACCUGUAGACUCACAUCCUAUCUGCUAAGCUACCUCAGCAGUACAUUUUGGAUUAUCCUUGGACUUUCGUUAUGUGAACCAAAAAAUCCUCCUUUCUAUUCCCUUAAGCCAAUUUGAAUGUAGUUUCUUCACUUGCAACAAGUGUUUGGACUAAAAUUGUACUUAUCAAAUGAUUCUCCACAAACAAGGAUAAUGGUAACAAUUAGAGUCUCUUCAAAACUUGGAAUUUAAGAGCAGUUAGUAUAGGGGCACCUGGGUGGCUCAGUUGGCUAAGUGUCUGACUCUUGAUUUCAGCUCAGAUCAUGAUCUCAGGGUUGUGAGACUGAGUGUCCCUGAUGAAAAGGAACUUACUCUUGAUAUAUAUAUGCUAUGUUGGUUUCUAUUAUCUACUUUUUUUUAAGAUUUUAUUUAUUUGAGGGAUGCCCAGGUGGCUCAGUGGUUGAGCAUCUACCUUCAGCUCAGGUCGUGAUCCCGACGGUCCUAGGGUCGAGUCCCGCAUCAGGCUCACUGCAGGAAGCCUGCUUCUCCCUCUGCCUACAUCUCAGCACUUCUCUUUGUGAUUCUUAUGAAUAAAUAAAAUCUUAAAAAAAAAAAAAAAAGAUUUGAGAGAAAGGGAGAAAGAUCGCACACAAGCAGGGGGAGGGACAGAGGAAGAGGGAGAACCUCCCAAGCAGACUGCACUAAGCCCAGAGCCCAACACCAUGCUUAAUCCCAUAACCUAAGCCAACACCAAAAAUCAGAUGCUCAACUUACUGAGCCACCUGAGUGCCCCGUAUUUUUUACCCUUUCUCUUUUCUACUUCAUACUUCUUAGUCAGAAUUUCUUAUUUGUAACCUCAAGCUUAUUCUAGGUUCUAUUAGCACCACAGAUUGGAUUAUCCUAAAUUGAUUUGACCCUGAAGCCCUUUUCUUAGAAACAACAAAAAGU